GACGAACGCUGGCGGCGUGCUUAACACAUGCAAGUCGAACGGAAAGGCCCUGCUUUUGUGGGGUGCUCGAGUUGCGAACGGGUGAGUAACACGUGAGUAACCUGCCCUUGACUUUGGGAUAACUUCAGGAAACUGGGGCUAAUACCGGAUAGGAGCUCCUGCUGCAUGGUGGGGGUUGGAAAGUUUCGGCGGUUGGGGAUGGACUCGCGGCUUAUCAGCUUGUUGGUGGGGUAGUGGCUGACCAAGGCUUUGACGGGUAGCCGGCCUGAGAGGGUGACCGGCCACAUUGGGACUGAGAUAAGGCACAGACUCCUACGGGAGGCAGCAGUGGAGAAUAUUGCACAAUGGGAGGAAGCAUGAUGCAGCAAAGCAGCGUGCGGGAUGACGGGCUUCGGGUUGUAAACUGAUUUCGCCUGUGACGAAGCGUGAGUGACGGUAAUGGGUGAAGAAGCACCGGCUAACUACGUG
RNAcentral lists this ribosomal RNA (468 nucleotides) under uncultured bacterium. RNAcentral's name for it is "partial 16S ribosomal RNA". It matches the Rfam family "Bacterial small subunit ribosomal RNA", at positions 28 to 507 of the family's 1533-position model. The record is from RNAcentral.